UGGAACUCGUGCCCAAUUCCCAAAGCCGUGUCUCCCCCAUAUCUCUUUCACAGAAACAAAAAAGAAGGAAACGAAGCAGAAGGGAGAAGAAGGAAGAGGAUACCCUUUCAAAACUGAAGAAGAAAGAAGAAGGAAACGAAGCAGGAGAAGAGGAUCUGAAGAAGAAGCAGAAGGAAAGGAAGAGGUCAAAGGCGCUAGUAGAAGGAUACUCUUUCUGAACUGAUUUGUGUUUUUACUAAUAUUUGGUUUAUGAGUUCUUGUUGGCAUCUUUGUUUAUCUGAACAGUUCGUUGUCGAGUUUAUCUCCAUUAUAUUUUUUAAUCUACAGACUUUUUUUAUAGGCUCCA
Long non-coding RNA from Macadamia integrifolia, 346 nucleotides. RefSeq lists it as uncharacterized. Lineage: Eukaryota; Viridiplantae; Streptophyta; Magnoliopsida; Proteales; Proteaceae. The transcript has 2 exons. The record is from RefSeq and is a predicted model, not a curated record.